RNAcentral lists this ribosomal RNA (496 nucleotides) under uncultured bacterium. RNAcentral describes it as "bacterial SSU rRNA". It matches the Rfam family "Bacterial small subunit ribosomal RNA", at positions 52 to 507 of the family's 1533-position model. The record is from RNAcentral.
CACAUGCAAGUCGAGCGGAGUUUAACUGACAGAAGCCUUCGGGCAGAAGACGAUUAAACUUAGUGGCGGACGGGUGAGUAACGCGUGGAUAACCUGCCUUAUAGAGGGGGACAACAGUUGGAAACGACUGCUAAUACCGCAUAAGGUCUCGAGACCGCAUGAUCUUGAGAAGAAAGAUGGCCUCUGAAAAUGCUAUCGCUAUAAGAUGGAUCCGCGUCUGAUUAGCUAGUUGGUGAGGUAACGGCUCACCAAGGCAACGAUCAGUAGCCGGCCUGAGAGGGUGAACGGCCACAUUGGGACUGAGACACGGCCCAAACUCCUACGGGAGGCAGCAGUGGGGAAUCUUCCGCAAUGGGCGAAAGCCUGACGGAGCAAUGCCGCGUGAAUGAAGAAGGCCUUCGGGUCGUAAAAUUCUGUCCUUAUUGAAGAGAGGUUCAUGUGUAAACAAUGCAUGAAUAGGACGGUAGAUAAGGAGGAAGCCCCGGCUAACUACGUG